AUGGACUUCGUCGAGGGAUUACCCAAAUCUGAAGGGUACGAUUCCAUCAUGGUCAUCAUCGAUCGCCUGACCAAGUUCGCGCACUUUGUGCCGCUCCGGCACCCCUUCACCGCGGUCCACGUCACCCGCGCGUUCUGGGACAACGUCAUCAAGAUGCACGGCGUACCUCUCUCCAUCGUCUCUGAUCGGGACAAGAUCUUCACUAGCGCCAUGUGGCGCGAACUGCUCGCCACGGCAGGCACCAAGCUGUUGUACUCCACCGCCUAUCACCCGCAGACUGACGGGCAGACGGAGCGCGUCAACCAGUGCCUGGAGAUGUAUCUCCGGUGCGCCGUCCACGACACCCCACAUCGAUGGCGCAAGUGA
This 366-nucleotide ribosomal RNA is filed under the name Triticum aestivum (bread wheat). RNAcentral's name for it is "partial small subunit ribosomal RNA". Lineage: Eukaryota; Viridiplantae; Streptophyta; Magnoliopsida; Poales; Poaceae. The record is from RNAcentral.